Solea solea (common sole) is the source of this 707-nucleotide long non-coding RNA. RefSeq lists it as uncharacterized. Lineage: Eukaryota; Metazoa; Chordata; Actinopteri; Pleuronectiformes; Soleidae. The transcript is spliced from 3 exons. The record is from RefSeq and is a predicted model, not a curated record.
CCUGUGUGUGUGUGUGUGUAGAGUAUGUGAGAGAGUGUGAGGGGAUCUUCACACGGGGAGCACCGUGACUCCUCGCAGGAUGCUCGCCCGCCUCUCCCCCUACGCUGCUCGCCUGCAUGCUUACCAGGCGCCCGCUCGCGCUCUAAUCGCACAUCUGCUUCUCUCAACACUCUCUCCGUCUCUCUCCCCCUUUUAAGUGCACACCAAAUACACACGCUCGCUCACACACACACACACAACCUGCUGGACUGUCUCUCUGCUCGAGAGGGAACCGGAGACAGAGCCGGAGGAUGCCGCUACAAGAGGUGCAUUCACCACGGAGGAACCCUAAACACAGCAAGUCCUCCCCCCCCUCCCCUCCCCUCCCGCCUGCUAAGGAAAGCUGAAGCGAGAUGAAUUAAGCCGGACGAGACUCACAAGUGCUGAAUGGGACACACUGACAUGUUUCCCCAAAAUGUUUUUCUUAGUCGCUCCAACAGACAGGAAUCUACUGGCAAGAAGAAAGGCUCAGUCUUCCCCAGGAGAGAGGAGUACAAAGCCCCCAGUCUGCACACAGCAGAUGCAGAAAGCCAGUCCAUCUGCCACCAACUCCAUGUACCACAUGGGCCUGAGAGAGAUUUUGUUGUUUUUUUUUUUUUCUUAAGUUUACAUCUGCCUACCUAAGUGUGUGCAACACAAACAUAAUUAAAUGCAAAGCAAGUAAAUCU